Symphalangus syndactylus (siamang) is the source of this 166-nucleotide small nuclear RNA. RefSeq annotates it as U1 spliceosomal RNA. NCBI's taxonomy places the organism in Eukaryota, Metazoa, Chordata, Mammalia, Primates, Hylobatidae. The record is from RefSeq and is a predicted model, not a curated record.
AUUCUUACCAGGCAGGGGAGAUGCCAUGAUCAUGAAGGUGGUUUUUCCAGGGUGAGGCUCAUCCAUUGCAUUCCGUAGGUGUGCUUCCCACUGUGAUUUCCCCAAAUGCGGGAAACUCGACUGCAUAAUGUGUGGUAGUGAGGAACUGUAUUCAUGCUUUCCCCUG